UGAUUUGUUGUCAAAAGGAAAUCUUGUUCCUGGCCAACAUAAAGCUUUUUCAAGGAGAUAGAGCUGCAGAAGGAUUGAUAUAGACUUCAGGACAGCAAAGAACACUCUAGUUUUUUUUCUAUUUUAUUUCUUAGAAAUUUGUAGGCAUAAUAAUAACAUAUUUUCAAAAUUGUACAAACUCAUGAAAUUGAGAGGUGAGGAAACUAAGACAGAAAAGUCAAGUAACUGCCCUCUCAGAUCACAUGGCUGGUUAGUAGCAGAGCUGGGAUUCCAACAUAAGCACAUAUCUGCAGACCCAGGCUCCUCACUCUCAGGGAAGAGUGUCAAUUACUAGGAUCACCUUGGACACCAACUUUUUUGGAGCAGUUCCUGUUUGUGUGAAUGGUAGUCGGCAUUCUCAGACAUAGUAACCACAGGAAUGAGUUCACACCAGCUUUUUUCGAGGAAAAUUCACCAAAAUUGGUGUUUGUUGAGUGAGUAAAUGAAGAAGGAGCGGAGUUCUUUUCCUUCCUUAGUUAUCUUUAUUUUUCCUCUUAACAGUUUACUACUAUAAAGGCAACAUUUGAAGAAGAGUCUUCAAGCAAUCAAUAUAGCAGUCGGCAAUUCAAUAAAUCAUUGGUCUAGGUUUGUGGUUAUCAACUGGGGGUGAUU
Talpa occidentalis (Iberian mole) is the source of this 651-nucleotide long non-coding RNA. RefSeq lists it as uncharacterized. The transcript has 4 exons. Lineage: Eukaryota; Metazoa; Chordata; Mammalia; Eulipotyphla; Talpidae. The record is from RefSeq and is a predicted model, not a curated record.